GACGACGCUGGCGGCGUGCUUAACACAUGCAAGUCGAACGGUGACGAGGAGCUUGCUCCUCCGAUCGAGUGGCGAACGGGUGAGUAACACGUGAGCAACCUGCCCCAGACUCUGGGAUAACAGUUGGAAACAGCUGCUAAUACCGGAUACGAGACGGAGAGGCAUCUCUACCGUCUUGGAAAGUUUUUCGGUCUGGGAUGGACUCGCGGCCUAUCAGCUAGUUGGUGAGGUAAUGGCUCACCAAGGCGACGACGGGUAGCCGGCCUGAGAGGGUGACCGGCCCGAGGGGCACUGAGAUACGGGUCCCACUCCUACGGGAGGCAGCAGGCUAGAAAUUUGGGCAAUGGGGAAACCCUGACCCAGUGACGCCGCGUGCAGGAAGGAGCCCUUCGGGGUGUAAACUGCUGUCGUGUAGGGAGAAGGGUACUAAGGUGAACAAUCUUAGUACUUGACGGUACUACAGGAGGAAGCCCAGGCUAACCUCGUG
Molecule: ribosomal RNA, 487 nt
Filed under: uncultured bacterium
Lineage: Bacteria
Description: bacterial SSU rRNA
Rfam family: Bacterial small subunit ribosomal RNA
Source: RNAcentral